AGGGUUUGAUCAUGGCUCAGAACGUACGCUGGCGGCACGCCUAAUACAUGCAAGUCGAACGCAGUAGCAAUACUGAGUGGCGAACGGGUGAGUAUAAUGUGGGUAUCUGCCUUUUGGUUUGGAAUAACACGAGGAAACUUGUGCUAAUACCGGAUAAGCCCUUACGGGGAAAGUUUUAACGCCGAAAGAUGAGCCCGCACUUGAUUAGCUAGUUGGUAGGGUAAAAGCCUACCAAGGCUACGAUCAAUAGCUGAUCUGAGAGGAUGAUCAGCCACAUUGGGACUGAGACACGGCCCAAACUCCUACGGGAGGCAGCAGUAGGGAAUCUUGCACAAUGGGGGAAACCCUGAUGCAGCGAUGCCGCGUGAGUGAAGAAGGCCCUUGGGUUGUAAAGCUCUUUCGUCGGGGAAGAAAAUGACUGUACCCGAAUAAGAAGGUCCGGCUAACUUCGUGCCAGCCGCCGCGGUAAUAC
RNAcentral lists this ribosomal RNA (472 nucleotides) under uncultured bacterium. RNAcentral describes it as "bacterial SSU rRNA". It matches the Rfam family "Bacterial small subunit ribosomal RNA", at positions 8 to 526 of the family's 1533-position model. The record is from RNAcentral.